Molecule: ribosomal RNA, 465 nt
Filed under: Vreelandella stevensii
Lineage: Bacteria; Pseudomonadati; Pseudomonadota; Gammaproteobacteria; Oceanospirillales; Halomonadaceae
Description: partial 16S ribosomal RNA
Rfam family: Bacterial small subunit ribosomal RNA
Source: RNAcentral
CCUACGGGAGGCUGCAGUGGGGAAUAUUGGACAAUGGGGGGAACCCUGAUCCAGCCAUGCCGCGUGUGUGAAGAAGGCCCUCGGGUUGUAAAGCACUUUCAGUGAGGAAGAACGCCUGGUGGUUAAUACCCAUCAGGAAAGACAUCACUCACAGAAGAAGCACCGGCUAACUCCGUGCCAGCAGCCGCGGUAAUACGGAGGGUGCGAGCGUUAAUCGGAAUUACUGGGCGUAAAGCGCGCGUAGGUGGCUUGAUAAGCCGGUUGUGAAAGCCCCGGGCUCAACCUGGGAACGGCAUCCGGAACUGUCAAGCUAGAGUGCAGGAGAGGAAGGUAGAAUUCCCGGUGUAGCGGUGAAAUGCGUAGAGAUCGGGAGGAAUACCAGUGGCGAAGGCGGCCUUCUGGACUGAAACUGACACUGAGGUGCGAAAGCGUGGGUAGCAAACAGGAUUAGAUACCCGGGUAGUC